GAGGGUAAAUCCCAGUGGCAGAGCAUGUGCUUAGCAUGUACAAGGUCCUGGGUUCAAUCCCCAGUCCCUCCA
RNAcentral lists this transfer RNA (72 nucleotides) under Camelus bactrianus (Bactrian camel). It matches the Rfam family "tRNA". From Rfam's summary of the family: Transfer RNA (tRNA) molecules are approximately 80 nucleotides in length. Their secondary structure includes four short double-helical elements and three loops (D, anti-codon, and T loops). Further hydrogen bonds mediate the characteristic L-shaped molecular structure. tRNAs have two regions of fundamental functional importance: the anti-codon, which is responsible for specific mRNA codon recognition, and the 3' end, to which the tRNAs corresponding amino acid is attached (by aminoacyl-tRNA synthetases). tRNAs cope with the degeneracy of the genetic code in two manners: having more than one tRNA (with a specific anti-codon) for a particular amino acid; and 'wobble' base-pairing, i.e. permitting non-standard base-pairing at the 3rd anti-codon position. The record is from Rfam by way of RNAcentral. Lineage: Eukaryota; Metazoa; Chordata; Mammalia; Artiodactyla; Camelidae. RNAcentral also lists the same sequence under 2 other names.